GCCUUCUGGUAGACCAGGCCCUGCCACAAAAAGUGCCAUUCAGAAAGCUCACCAGCGAGAAGAGAGCUCCACGCUCAGCCUCAGAAGAAAGACGUUCAACGACUUACGGGGGAGAGAAAUAAAAGAACGGGAGCUGAGAGAAAGUUUCACACAUUUGAUUUAGACCUUACGAUCAGCCAUUGUUUACAUCGGGAAGCAUCAAUCCAGAGUAACUGGCAAGCAGGGACAGGGUCUCACCAUGUCGCCCAGGCUUGUCUUGAACUCCUGGCUUAAGUGAUCCUCCAGCCUCAGCCUCUCAAAGUACUGGGAUUACGGCAUGAGCCACCAUGCCUGGCCCAGCCUCUUCCUUGAGAACUAGCAGAUAGCACAGCACUCCUGUUUGAAGCAGACCAACACCUUGAGAUUUGUUUAAGCCAAGAAGGAGGUCCUACCUUUAAACAAGAAAAGGUUUAUGACUCUCUUGACAUACUCCAGGGAUUCCUGUCUGACAGUGCUCAGGAAGAACAACUGAAAAAAACAGAACUCUAACAUUUCAGAACUGUCAGAGACAAAAACUGACAGAGACAAAGAACACCCAAUCCAGCCUUCUCAUGUUGCAAAGGAAGACGUUGAGUCUAGAGACAAGGAGCGCCUCACUCCAGGCACGGUUAUGGCAGAACUCAAGGGGCAAAACUGGGUGGGAGGAGAAUUGCAGAGAGGGGUAGAGGGCUCUCUCUCGCCUUCCGACUGGGACUGUAUUACUUUCAUUAUUUCAGUGCCUGUGAGCAUGAGAAUGCGCCAAUGCUAUAGAUAAUUAAGGAAAAAGUUGUGGGAGGUGGAGUAUGGUAUCACAGCUACCAGUAAUACCAUA
This 850-nucleotide small RNA is filed under the name Pongo abelii (Sumatran orangutan). RNAcentral describes it as "processed transcript". Lineage: Eukaryota; Metazoa; Chordata; Mammalia; Primates; Hominidae. The record is from RNAcentral.